ACUAAGCGUACACGGUGGAUGCCCUGGCAGUCAGAGGCGAUGAAGGACGUGCUAAUCUGCGAUAAGCGUCGGUGAGGUGAUAUGAACCGUUAUAACCGGCGAUUUCCGAAUGGGGAAACCCAGUGUGUUUCGACACACUAUCAUUAACUGAAUCCAUAGGUUAAUGAGGCGAACCGGGGGAACUGAAACAUCUAAGUACCCGAGGAAAGAAAUCAACCGAGAUUCCCCAGUAGCGGCGAGCGAACGGGAGGAGCCCAGAGCCUGAAUCAGUGUGUGUGUUAGUGGAAGCGUCUGGAAAGGCGCGCGAUACAGGGUGACAGCCCGUACACAAAAUGCACAUAUUGUGAGCUCGAUGAGUAGGGCGGGACACGUGGUAUCCUGUCUGAAUAUGGGGACCAUCCUCCAAGGCUAAAUACUCCUGACUGACCGAUAGUGAACCAGUACCGUGAGGGAAAGGCGAAAAGAACCCGGCGAGGGAGUGAAAAGAACCUGAAACCGUGUACGUACAAGCAGUGGGAGCCUCUUAAUGGGGUGACUGCGUACCUUUGUAUAAUGGGUCAGCGACUUAUAUUCUGUAGCAAGGUUAACCGAAUAGGGAGCCGAAGGGAAACCGAGUCUUAACUGGGCGUUAAGUUGCAGGGUAUAGACCCGAAACCCGGUGAUUCAGCCAUGGGCAGGUUGAAGGUUGGGUAACACUAACUGGAGGACCGAACCGACUAAUGUUGAAAAAUUAGCGGAUGACUUGUGGCUGGGGGUGAAAGGCCAAUCAAACCGGGAGAUAGCUGGUUCUCCCCGAAAGCUAUUUAGGUAGCGCCUCGUGAAUUCAUCUCCGGGGGUAGAGCACUGUUUCGGCAAGGGGGUCAUCCCGACUUACCAACCCGAUGCAAACUGCGAAUACCGGAGAAUGUUAUCACGGGAGACACACGGCGGGUGCUAACGUCCGUCGUGAAGAGGGAAACAACCCAGACCGCCAGCUAAGGUCCCAAAGUCAUGGUUAAGUGGGAAACGAUGUGGGAAGGCCCAGACAGGGAUGUUGGCUUAGAAGCAGCCAUCAUUUAAAGAAAGCGGGUUCCUGUCCAACGUUAAUCUGUGAGGGGCAGGGUGAGUCGACCUAAGGCGAGGCCGAAAGGCGUAGUCGAUGGGAAACAGGUUAAUAUUCCUGUACUUGGUGUUACUGCGAAGGGGACGGAGAAGGCUAUGUUGGCCGGGCGACGGUUGUCCCGGUUUAAGCGUGUAGGCUGGUUUUCCGUGCAAAUCCGGAAAAUCAAGGCUGAGGCGUGAUGACGAGGCACUACGGUGCUGAAGCGACAAAUGCCCUGCUUCCGGAAAAGCCUCUAAGCAUCAGGUAACAUCAAAUCGUACCCCAAACCGACACAGGUGGUCAGGUAGAGAAUACCAAGGCGCUUGAGAGAACUCGGGUGAAGGAACUAGGCAAAAUGGUGCCGUAACUUCGGGAGAAGGCACGCUGAUAUGUAGGUGAAGCGACUUGCUCGUGGAGCUGAAAUCAGUCGAAGAUACCAGCUGGCUGCAACUGUUUAUUAAAACACAGCACUGUGCAAACACGAAAGUGGACGUAUACGGUGUGACGCCUGCCCGGUGCCGGAAGGUUAAUUGAUGGGGUUAGCGGUAACGCGAAGCUCUUGAUCGAAGCCCGGUAAACGGCGGCCGUAACUAUAACGGUCCUAAGGUAGCGAAAUUCCUUGUCGGGUAAGUUCCGACCUGCACGAAUGGCGUAAUGAUGGCGCUGUCUCCACCCGAGACUCAGUGAAAUUGAACUCGCUGUGAAGAUGCAGUGUACCCGCGGCAAGACGGAAAGACCCCGUGAACCUUUACUAUAGCUUGACACUGAACAUUGAGCCUUGAUGUGUAGGAUAGGUGGGAGGCUUUGAAGUGUGGACGCCAGUCUGCAUGGAGCCGACCUUGAAAUACCACCCUUUAAUGUUUGAUGUUCUAACGUGGGCCCCUUACCGGGGUUGCGGACAGUGUCUGGUGGGUAGUUUGACUGGGGCGGUCCUCCUAAAGAGUAACGGAGGAGCACGAAGGUUGGCUAAUCGGUCGGACAUCAGGAGGUUAGUGCAAUGGCAUAAGCCAGCUUGACUGCGAGCGUGACGGCGCGAGCAGGUGCGAAAGCAGGUCAUAGUGAUCCGGUGGUUCUGAAUGGAAGGGCCAUCGCUCAACGGAUAAAAGGUACUCCGGGGAUAACAGGCUGAUACCGCCCAAGAGUUCAUAUCGACGGCGGUGUUUGGCACCUCGAUGUCGGCUCAUCACAUCCUGGGCUGAAGUAGGUCCCAAGGGUAUGGCUGUUCGCCAUUUAAAGUGGUACGCGAGCUGGGUUUAGAACGUCGUGAGACAGUUCGGUCCCUAUCUGCCGUGGGCGCUGGAGAACUGAGGGGCUGCUCCUAGUACGAGAGGACCGGAGUGGACGCAUCACUGGUGUUCGGGUUGUCAUGCCAAUGGCACUGCCCGGUAGCUAAAUGCGGAAGAGAUAAGUGCUGAAAGCAUCUAAGCACGAAACUUGCCCCGAGAUGAGUUCUCCCUGACUCCUUGAGAGUCCUGAAGGAACGUUGAAGACGACGACGUUGAUAGGCCGGGUGUGUAAGCGCAGCGAUGCGUUGAGCUAACCGGUACUAAUGAACCGUGAGGCUUAACC
Molecule: ribosomal RNA, 2650 nt
Filed under: Escherichia coli
Lineage: Bacteria; Pseudomonadati; Pseudomonadota; Gammaproteobacteria; Enterobacterales; Enterobacteriaceae
Description: bacterial LSU rRNA
Rfam family: Bacterial large subunit ribosomal RNA
Source: RNAcentral